Molecule: ribosomal RNA, 275 nt
Filed under: uncultured bacterium
Lineage: Bacteria
Description: partial 16S ribosomal RNA
Rfam family: Bacterial small subunit ribosomal RNA
Source: RNAcentral
CCUACGGGUGGCUGCAGUGGGGAAUAUUGGUCAAUGGGCGAAAGCCUGAACCAGCCACGCCGCGUGAGUGAUGAAGGCCUUCGGGUCGUAAAGCUCUGUGGGGAGGGACGAAAUCUUCGGUGUUAACAGCGCCGGAGUCUGACGGUACCUCCUUAGCAAGCACCGGCUAACCCUGUGCCAGCAGCCGCGGUAAUACAGGGGGUGCAAACGUUGCUCGGAAUUAUUGGGCGUAAAGCGCACGUAGGCGGCUCGUUAUGUCGGAUGUGAAAGCCCUC